This is a non-coding RNA of Lepisosteus oculatus (spotted gar), 1569 nucleotides long. The record is from RefSeq and is a predicted model, not a curated record. Lineage: Eukaryota; Metazoa; Chordata; Actinopteri; Semionotiformes; Lepisosteidae.
GCUGCCUCUGUCUCCUGCUCCUGACCCUGAGCCUGCUGGGCCUGACCUAUCAAUCAGAUUCCUCUGAACUUAAUGUCACAGUUGGGGAAAAUGUGACCUUCAGAGCUGAAAGACUGCAGAAGGGAUUCCUGAAAUUCCACAGCAACGUCAUUGCGGAUGUGAACGGGAGGAACUGCAACACCAGGGAUGCACAGUUCACAGACAGAGUGCAGUGGGACAGUGAGAGCAGACACAUCAAAAUCCUCAACCUCAACCUGAACGACACUGGAGUCUACAUCGUGGAAAUCAAGAACAAUGAGACGUCGUACAAACAGUUUCAAGUAAACGUGUUUGGUAAAUGGCUGAAGAGUGUUUCAAUCUGAUCUACUGAAGCCAGUACAACCGGAUGAGAUAGUCCAGUCAGGACAGGAGGCACGUCUUUACGCAAAAGGUGGUGGGUGAUCCUUGGAUCAAUGAACAACUAGCUACCAAAUGCUCAUUCUUUGCUUGCUCCACACUCCCACAACCCAUUGUGUAAAGGAGUGUCUCCUGCUCCCACUUUUGUCCACUGGUUUGUGUUUCAGUGUCGAUUUUGAACAAGCCGGCUGGGCUGGUUUUGGCAAUGCCUUUGAUUCAAACCUUUGAAGUUUUUGAAUGCCUGGCUCACGUCCCCUUGUAGGCCUUUCUGUUCUAGUGAAGACUCUUCUGACUACCCUUCUCCUCGUCUUUUCUUCCCCUCCUGUACAGAGCUCGUGUCAAGGGCAAGAGUCCAGGCCACCCGCACAGCCUCUCCGUCAAACACAUUCUGCUCUCUGCUGUGUUCAGUGGAGAACGGGAGAGGACUCACCCUGUUCUGGCACAGAGAGGGACAGGACCAACCUGUGAGCCGCAGCUCCUCUUCUACCAGCUCCAAUCUGACUCUCCUUCUUGAGAUAGAAAAUCUGAACGUCUCCUACACCUGCUCUGUCAGCAACCCUGUCAGCUGUAAGAUCACAGAGGUCAACCCUCACAACUACUGUGCUGGCCCCAGGCCCACAGCCCCUGUCCAAGUGCCAGUGGAGUUCAUAGUGAGGACGGUGCUGUCUGUGCUGGUGAUGCUGGGACUCACAGCCGUGCUUCUGACCCGCUGCACAGGGAGGAGGACUGAGACAAGAAGAUAAAAGAGAGAAAGAGAGACAACCCUGCACACUGAGUCUACACUCUACACCCUGAACACUCAACACCACCGAGCUCCACACCCAGUGACCCUGUCUACACUCUACACCCUGAACACUCAACACCACUGAGCUUCACACUCACAGCCCUGCACACUUAGUGACCCUGUCUACACUCUUCACCCUGAACACUCAACACCACUGAACUGCACACUCACAACCCUGCACAUUGAGUUACCCUGAACAUUCUUUUUGAAGACGAUCACUGAUGUUGAUAGAUUUCUUCCAGGAUAUAGAAAAUCUUCCACUAACAGCUGUCAGUAAAGGUAACAAACCUUUUGUAACUAAACACACAUCUUCAAAGUCUACACUGCAUGUGUCAAUUCUAGGAAUUCAGCUUGAUUUUCUCUUUGGAAAGAAGACUGUUAUUGCAAUA